UUUUUCAAACAAAAAAAGCCAAAAA
This 25-nucleotide small RNA is filed under the name Arabidopsis thaliana (thale cress). Its description in RNAcentral is "ATSL122020". The record is from RNAcentral. Lineage: Eukaryota; Viridiplantae; Streptophyta; Magnoliopsida; Brassicales; Brassicaceae.